AAACUAACAAGGAUUCCCCUAGUAACGGCGAGUGAAGCGGGAAGAGCUCAAAUUUGAAAGCUGGCAGCAAUGUCCGCGUUGUAAUCUCGAGAUGUGUUUUCCGUGCUGGACCAUGGACAUGUUCCCUGGAAAGGGAUGUCAUAGAGGGUGAUAACCCCGUACUUGCUAUGGACGCCCAGUGCUUUGUGAUACACAUUCGAAGAGUCGAGUUGUUUGGGAAUGCAGCUCAAAAUGGGUGGUAAAUUCCAUCUAAAGCUAAAUAUUGGGGAGAGACCGAUAGCAAACAAGUACCGUGAGGGAAAGAUGAAAAGCACUUUGGAAAGAGAGUUAAACAGUUUGUGAAAUUGUCAAAAGGGAAGCACAGGAAGUCAGUUUUGCUUGCAGUAUUUAUACUGUUUGCAGGCCAACAUCGAUUUUCGGCAACAGAUAAGGGUGAAAAGAAUGUGGCCACUUCGGAGGUGUUUUAUAGCUUUUCACUGGAUAUGUUGCUGGGGAUCGAGGAACGCAGCGUCCCUGCAAGGGCAGGCCUUUGGGCACUUUGACGCUUAGGAUGUUGGCGUAAUGGCUUUCCGUGACCCGUCUUGA
This 585-nucleotide ribosomal RNA is filed under the name Graphiola geonomae. RNAcentral's name for it is "eukaryotic LSU rRNA". It matches the Rfam family "Eukaryotic large subunit ribosomal RNA", at positions 62 to 657 of the family's 3401-position model. Lineage: Eukaryota; Fungi; Basidiomycota; Exobasidiomycetes; Exobasidiales; Graphiolaceae. The record is from RNAcentral.